Molecule: ribosomal RNA, 429 nt
Filed under: uncultured bacterium
Lineage: Bacteria
Description: bacterial SSU rRNA
Rfam family: Bacterial small subunit ribosomal RNA
Source: RNAcentral
UGGGGAAUUGUUCGCAAUGGGCGCAAGUCUGACGACGCAACGCCGCGUGGAGGAUGAAGAUCUUCGGGUCGUAAACUCCUGUCGAGCGGGAAGAAUACCUACCUGGCGAACAUCCGGGUAGGCUGACGGUACCGCUAAAGGAAGCCCCGGCUAACUCCGUGCCAGCAGCCGCGGUAAUACGGGGGGGGCAAGCGUUGUUCGGAAUUACUGGGCGUAAAGGGCUCGUAGGCGGCCAACUAAGUCGGACGUGAAAUCCCCAGGCUCAACCUGGGAACUGCGUCUGAUACUGGAUGGCUUGAAUCCGGGAGAGGGAUGCAGAAUUCCAGGUGUAGCGGUGAAAUGCGUAGAUAUCUGGAGGAAUACCGGUGGCGAAGGCGGCAUCCUGGACCGGCAUUGACGCUGAGGAGCGAAAGCCAGGGGAGCAAACGG